RNAcentral lists this long non-coding RNA (235 nucleotides) under Elaeis guineensis (African oil palm). RNAcentral describes it as "long non-coding RNA (EGUI_LNC017623)". The record is from RNAcentral. Lineage: Eukaryota; Viridiplantae; Streptophyta; Magnoliopsida; Arecales; Arecaceae.
CUUGACUGGUAUUUAUAUGUUGCUUUUUUUAUCAAAUCUCUCAGUUUUGAGUCCCAGAACCUUGUAUUGAAAUUGCUCGCUACAUGGCAUAGGCAAUAUACAUGAUAUGCAUUGUGUGAUUGCCAACUAAGAUAUUCAUUUUCCAUAGUGGAUAAUAAACUUGCAUGUUGACUCAAAAUUAGACAGACAUUCUAAUGUGAUGUAACAAAACAUCUUAGAUAAAUUAAGAAACAGC